UAAUGCGCCCUACGGGGGGCAGCAGUGAGGAAUAUUGGUCAAUGGUCGGCAGACUGAACCAGCCAAGUCGCGUGAGGGAAGACGGCCCUACGGGUUGUAAACCUCUUUUGUCGGAGAGUAAAGUGCGCUACGCGUAGCGUAUUGCAAGUAUCCGAAGAAAAAGCAUCGGCUAACUCCGUGCCAGCAGCCGCGGUAAUACGGAGGAUUCAAGCGUUAUCCGGAUUUAUUGGGUUUAAAGGGUGCGUAGGCGGUUUGAUAAGUUAGAGGUGAAAUUUCGGGGCUCAACCCUGAACGUGCCUCUAAUACUGUUGAGCUAGAGAGUAGUUGCGGUAGGCGGAAUGUAUGGUGUAGCGGUGAAAUGCUUAGAGAUCAUACAGAACACCGAUUGCGAAGGCAGCUUACCAAACUAUAUCUGACGUUGAGGCACGAAAGCGUGGGGAGCAAAUAGGAUUAGAUACCCUAGUAGUCCUAUCGCU
This 476-nucleotide ribosomal RNA is filed under the name Enterococcus alishanensis. RNAcentral describes it as "bacterial SSU rRNA". It matches the Rfam family "Bacterial small subunit ribosomal RNA", at positions 330 to 801 of the family's 1533-position model. Lineage: Bacteria; Bacillati; Bacillota; Bacilli; Lactobacillales; Enterococcaceae. The record is from RNAcentral.